RNAcentral lists this ribosomal RNA (497 nucleotides) under uncultured bacterium. RNAcentral's name for it is "partial 16S ribosomal RNA". It matches the Rfam family "Bacterial small subunit ribosomal RNA", at positions 28 to 507 of the family's 1533-position model. The record is from RNAcentral.
GAUGAACGCUGGCGGCGUGCCUAAUACAUGCAAGUUGAGCGAACGGACGAGAAGCUUGCUUCUCUGAUGUUAGCGGCGGACGGGUGAGUAACACGUGGAUAACCUACCUAUAAGACUGGGAUAACUUCGGGAAACCGUAGCUAAUACCGGAUAAUAUUUUGAACCGCAUGGUUCAAAAGUGAAAGACGGUCUUGCUGUCACUUAUAGAUGGAUCCGCGCUGCAUUAGCUAGUUGGUAAGGUAACGGCUUACCAAGGCAACGAUGCAUAGCCGACCUGAGAGGGUGAUCGGCCACACCGGAACUGAGACACGGUCCAGACUCCUACGGGAGGCAGCAGUAGGGAAUCUUCCGCAAUGGGCGAAAGCCUGACGGAGCAACGCCGCGUGAGUGAUGAAGGUCUUCGGAUCGUAAAACUCUGUUAUUAGGGAAGAACAUAUGUGUAAGUAACUGUGCACAUCUUGACGGUACCUAAUCAGAAAGCCACGGCUAACUACGUG